AUACUACAGGGUACUGUUAUAAUACUACAGGGUACUGUUAUAAUACUGCAGGGUACUGUUAUAAUACUACAGGGUUCUGUUAUAAUACUACUUACUGGGUGUCAUCAGACUAGUUAAACUGGUACCACUACAGGGUACUGUUAUAAUACUACUUACUGGGUACUGUUAUAAUACUACAGGGUACUGUUAUAAUACUACAAUGUGUCAUCAGACUAGCACCUGUUAAACUGGUACCACUACAGGGUACUGUUAUAAUACUACUUACUGGGUGUCAUCAGACUAGCACCUGUUAAACUGGUACCACUACAGGGUACUGUUAUAAUACUACAGGGUACUGGGUACUGUUAUAAUACUACAGGGUACUGUUAUAAUACUACAGGGUACUGUUAUAAUACUACAAGGUACUGUUAUAAUACUACUUACUGGGUGUCAUCAGACUAGCACCUGUUAAACUGGUACCACUACAGGGUACUGUUAUAAUACUACUUACUGGGUGUCAUCAGACUAGCACCUGUUAAACUGGUACCACUACAGGGUACUGAUAUAAUACUACAGGGUACUGGGUACUGUUAUAAUACUACAGGGUACUGUUAUAAUACUACAAGGUACUGUUAUAAUACUACUUACUGGGUGUCAUCAGACUAGCACCUGUUAAACUGGUACUACUAUAGGGUACUGUUAUAAUACUACAGGGUAUUGUUAUACUACUACAGGGUACUGUUAUAAUACUACAAGGUACUGUUAUAAUACUACAGGGUACUGUUAUAAUACUACAAGGUACUGUUAUAAUACUGCAGGGUACUGUUAUAACACUACAAGGUACUGUUAUAAUACUACAGGGUACUGUCAUAAUACUACAGGGUACUGUUAUAAUACUACAAUGUGUCAUCAGACCAGCACCUGUUAAACUGGUACCACUACAGGGUACUGUUAUAAUACUACAGGGUACUGUUAUAAUACUACAAGGUACUGUUAUAAUACUACAGGGUACUGUUAUAAUACUACAAUGUGUCAUCAGACUAGCACCUGUUAAACUGGUACCACUAUAGGGUACUGUUAUAAUACUACAGGGUACUGUUAUAAUACUACAGGGUACUGUUAUAAUACUACUGGGUGUCAUCAGACUAGCACCUGUUAAACUGGUACUACUAUAGGGUACUGUUAUAAUACUACAGGGUACUGUUAUAAUACUACAGGGUACUGUUAU
Molecule: non-coding RNA, 1207 nt
Organism: Oncorhynchus mykiss (rainbow trout)
Lineage: Eukaryota; Metazoa; Chordata; Actinopteri; Salmoniformes; Salmonidae
Source: RefSeq, a predicted model, not a curated record